Non-coding RNA from Rhodnius prolixus, 46 nucleotides. Lineage: Eukaryota; Metazoa; Arthropoda; Insecta; Hemiptera; Reduviidae. The record is from Rfam.
UCUUAGGUUUUUUUUAAAACCACAAAUUUUCUUCGAAUUCUGAAAG